GGAGGGUGUAGCUCAGUGAUAGAGCACAUGCUUAGUGCACGAGGUCCUGGGUUCAAUCCCCAGCACCUCCA
This 71-nucleotide transfer RNA is filed under the name Vicugna pacos (alpaca). Its description in RNAcentral is "tRNA-Leu (TAG) (tRNA-Leu-TAG-8-1)". It matches the Rfam family "tRNA". From Rfam's summary of the family: Transfer RNA (tRNA) molecules are approximately 80 nucleotides in length. Their secondary structure includes four short double-helical elements and three loops (D, anti-codon, and T loops). Further hydrogen bonds mediate the characteristic L-shaped molecular structure. tRNAs have two regions of fundamental functional importance: the anti-codon, which is responsible for specific mRNA codon recognition, and the 3' end, to which the tRNAs corresponding amino acid is attached (by aminoacyl-tRNA synthetases). tRNAs cope with the degeneracy of the genetic code in two manners: having more than one tRNA (with a specific anti-codon) for a particular amino acid; and 'wobble' base-pairing, i.e. permitting non-standard base-pairing at the 3rd anti-codon position. Lineage: Eukaryota; Metazoa; Chordata; Mammalia; Artiodactyla; Camelidae. The record is from RNAcentral.